Non-coding RNA from Arachis ipaensis, 277 nucleotides. The record is from RefSeq and is a predicted model, not a curated record. Lineage: Eukaryota; Viridiplantae; Streptophyta; Magnoliopsida; Fabales; Fabaceae.
ACUCUUCUAGUUGAUCUGCCGGAGCUUCUGGCCGCCGCCGGAGCUGUUGCCGGGCCGGUUCGAAAUCGUAGUUGCCUCAUUGUGUUGUUUCGUGUUGCUAUGGUUAUUGCGAACGUGACUGGAAGCUGAGGUUUUGGCUGCCGGAAUUGUGGUUGUGGAUUUCGGGUCGAGGCGGAAAGGACUUUGUGGCGCGUUUGAGUUAUGGAUUUGCGUUUUGAGGAUAUGGGCGCAGAAGUUACGAAGAGUUCUUUUAGUUGUGGUUGAAAUGCUCUGUAUU